CGGUCCAGUGGAUUGACCCAUUAGAUAUUUUAAUAUCUGUUACUUUGACUUGUGAUGAUUAAAAAGCAUGACAGUUGACCAAAGCUCCUGCCAUGCAUUAAUGUGGAUGGGAUCAUAGCCGGCCGACGGUAGAAAACAGUGGCCAAAAGCAGUGGAUAAACCAUACGCAGUCGGCAGAACCCAUCAGAUCAGAGGGGUGUGUCAGGUAGUAGUGGGUGGCACAGUAAUCCAAGCAGAGAUAGUAUAACCUAGCAAGGAG
RNAcentral lists this long non-coding RNA (259 nucleotides) under Panax ginseng (ginseng). Its description in RNAcentral is "long non-coding RNA (PGIN_LNC018757)". Lineage: Eukaryota; Viridiplantae; Streptophyta; Magnoliopsida; Apiales; Araliaceae. The record is from RNAcentral.